This is a long non-coding RNA of Mus musculus (house mouse), 3078 nucleotides long. RefSeq annotates it as predicted gene, 54256. The transcript has 2 exons. NCBI's taxonomy places the organism in Eukaryota, Metazoa, Chordata, Mammalia, Rodentia, Muridae. The record is from RefSeq and is a predicted model, not a curated record.
CCCUGUGAGAGAGGCGAGAGAGACUGCUCUUCAAGUGGCCAGGAACAGGCAUGAGGGGCAGGGGAGUAAGGUGGUGACCCCUGACUAACCACUGGAGGCAGUACUGAGCACCAGGCGCAUGCACACAGCAUUGCUGCUUGCAUUCCAUACCCUCUCCACACAGCACAGGACCUGCUCUGACCCCAGCUCCUGAGGUCAUUGCACUUCUCUAUGUGGCUCAUGUUUGACGUGUGGGAGAUGUCGAGUGGACUGAUCUCCUCCCCAGCCAGCCUGGAAUGUGUGCCCGUUCGUAUCCAUUCGCAUUUCACCCCCACGUGUGUCACUUACACAUACGCUCUGUCCUCAGCCAGGUUCUGUGUAGACAGAGCUGAAGGCUACUAAGAGGACACAGGGUGGGAUGAGGUGGUCAGAGGGCUUCCUACAGGUUCAUUUAUGGCCUUUAGGAGGCAAUGAAUCUCUUUGGGCCCCUGUUGUUUUCCAAGUCAAGGUUUCUCUGUAUAGCCCUGGUUGUCCAGGAAAUCACUCUGUAGACCAGGCUGGCCUCAAACUCACAGAGAUCUGCCUGCCUCUGCCUCCUGAGUGCACACGGCACCACUGCCCAGCCCCCCUUAAUCAUUUCAGUUCGACACUGCCCCUGCAUAGUGACCUAGAAGCCACUAGGCAGUCCAGGCUAAGCUAAAUCCUCUCAAUGCUGCUGGCCUUAGCCCCAGUGUGCUGGCAGUGCAGGCAGGCACCACCACACCUGGCUCCAGGACUAAUACACAGAAAGAAGUUUCCAGUGAUAGUUCUGGCUGGGGAUACAGCUCAGUGGGAGAGCUGACUCGCAUGUGUGAGUUUCUGGGUUCAGUCCUCAGUACUCGAAAGAGAAAAGGAGGACUCGGAUGGCGCGGACUCCCUUCCAGCUGUUUCUGACCCAGAUGCUGCUGCUGCUGCUGCUUACGGUAAUUAGACAAGAGCCCCGAGAGUCCACUGCCCUCCUAGGUUAACUGUGAUUUAACCUUCUCCCCGGGUCUGCUUACAAGCUCUAUCCAAGAGGAAACCCUUGGAUUACAUACAGGCUGGAGCCUACGUUUUCACCAGCAGCAUGCUGGCUUCUGGUCACCAUAAGAACAUGGGCUACUCAGUGAACUACAGAAUGUCAACUUAAAAAAUUAACAAGUGAAGCAAGGACAGAGAGGCCAGAGAACUUUCUUUAUGCGGAUUCCAUACCUGUGCCACUGGCCACUGGUACAGCGGUGGCGAAGUACACCUGCUCCACUUUCGAUGCUUGCUGCUGAGGGAAACACAACAAAAUCACAUCAACGGCCACUCUAACAGGGCAACCAUCUCAGGCUCCAAAGCCCAGCUGUAGUGCUCACCCAAGAAGACAGACCCCUCAGUGUUCCGGCUUCUUGUUUGUGCACUGACUGAUAUGAGAUCACUGGCCUGUUUGACACUCCACGCUGACAUUAUUGCUAGCUCUGUCCCUGUUACUUCUCUCCUCCCAGCAGCUGCUUAGUCCACUGGACUCUAUGUGUCCAGAGACCCCUUCAAGGUUGCUUUUCUUAAACGAUGGCCUUCUCAGAGAGAGGUCUGGGAUGCUUUUGUCCUCCCCGAUUCUCCUGUGAAAGCUAUAAUGUUCCUCCCCCCCCCCCCCCCAAUAACACCCUUCCCCAGGGCCUAGAGUGCUCACCGCUCACCCAGGGCAGCCUAAGGUUAUCCAUCAUAAGCACACAGGAACUCCAAGGCUCAGGACAGUCCCACUGUGGAUCUUGGGACUUGGCUAACCGAGAUUCAUGUCUAGUGAUUUGGACUUUGUCAUGUGUUUUUGUUCUGUCUUUUGAGACAAGUUCUCACUAUAUAACCCAGGCUGGCCAUGAACUUCGGAUACACUUGCCGCUACCUCCCAAGCUGAGACCAUAGCCAAGUGAUUUCACUUAUUAGAUCCACAGCUCCCUGUAGAAGCUGGGGUGAUAACGCAAGAGCCUCUCAAAGACUCUGAAGAUGAAUGAGCUGGUACAGAACACUCAGCUUAGAGCAGCCAGUAGAUAUCAGCCUCUGAACUGUUACCAUCAAGACCAUAAACUGUGCACAGGCAUACAGUACGCAUGAGGCUAGAAGCUCAAGGCUAGCCUUAGCUACAUAGUGAGUUUGAGAUCAGACCUAACGCAAGAUAGCCUCAUCUCAAAAAAAAUGGAACAACAACAACAACAACAACAAAAAAAAAAACAAACUAAAACCAAACAACAACAAAAAUCCUAAACAAGCCAGGCGUGGUGGCGCACGCCUUUAAUCCCAGCACUUGGGAGGCAGAGGCAGGCAGAUUUCUGAGUUCGAGGCCAGCCUGGCCUAGAGAGUGUGUUCCAGGACAGCCAGGGCUACACACAGAAACCCCUGUCUCGAAAAACCAAAAAAAAAAAAAAAAAAAAAAAAAAAGCAAAAAUCCUAAACAAGCCAACCUGUAUUAGAACUCUACUGUACUUCCUACUAUAUUGAAGGGUUUCUAGGGGUUGGAGAGAUGGCUCUGCACUUAGGAGCAUUGGUUGUUCUUCCAGAGGACCAGAGUUCAAUUCCCAGCAUCUACAUGGCAGCCUCUAUCUCUAGUUCCAGGGGACCCAAUGCCAUCUGCUGGCCUCCACCGGCACUGCACACAUGUGGUAUAUAGACAUACAUACAAGCAAAACACCCAUUCACAUAAAAAUAUUAAUAUUUUUGUAUUUUUCAAGUCUUGUCUUAAAGGGGCAUCCUUUUUUGUUUGUUUGUUUUUGAGACAGGGUUUCUCUGGCUGUCCUAGAACUUUACUAGCUCUGUAGACCAGGCUGGCCUUAAGCGCACAGAGAUCUGCCUGCCUCUGUCCCCCAAGAACUGAGAUUAAAGUCAUGCACCAUCUCCUGGCUCUAGGGGACCUUCCUUCCUUCCUCCCUUCCUCCCUUCCUUCCUUCCUUCCUCUCCCUCUCUCCUAUUUAAAACACACAAAAUAUGCUGGGUGAGUGUAGGGAGAACUCUGACUUCUGGCUACGAUGCAGACAGAACUGAUGCAAGGCUGCAGUGCAGCUCAGUAGUAGAGCAGCUGCACUGGCUUAGUCCCCAACACGGGAA